GAUGAACGCUGGCGGCGUGCCUAAUACAUGCAAGUCGAGCGAACAGACGAGGAGCUUGCUCCUUUGACGUUAGCGGCGGACGGGUGAGUAACACGUAGGUAACCUACCUAUAAGACUGGGAUAACUUCGGGAAACCGGAGCUAAUACCGGAUAAUAUUUCGAACCGCAUGGUUCGAUAGUGAAAGAUGGCUUUGCUAUCACUUAUAGAUGGACCUGCGCCGUAUUAGCUAGUUGGUAAGGUAACGGCUUACCAAGGCAACGAUACGUAGCCGACCUGAGAGGGUGAUCGCCCACACUGGAACUGAGACACGGUCCAGACUCCUACGGGAGGCAGCAGUAGGGAAUCGUCCGCAAUGGUCGAAAGCCUGACGGAGCAACGCCGCGUGAGUGGUGAAGGUCUUCGGAUCGUAAAACUCUGUUAUUAGGGAAGAACAAACGUGUAAGUAACUGUGCACGUCUUGACGGUACCUAAUCAGAAAGCCACGGCUAACUACGUG
Molecule: ribosomal RNA, 497 nt
Filed under: uncultured bacterium
Lineage: Bacteria
Description: partial 16S ribosomal RNA
Rfam family: Bacterial small subunit ribosomal RNA
Source: RNAcentral